This 1599-nucleotide long non-coding RNA is filed under the name Apis florea (little honeybee). RNAcentral's name for it is "uncharacterized LOC116413894, transcript variant X2". Lineage: Eukaryota; Metazoa; Arthropoda; Insecta; Hymenoptera; Apidae. The record is from RNAcentral.
AUUUUAUAUGAUAAUUAUAAAAAAUUAAUUUUAUUUUAUUCCUUUAAUCGUAAUUAAAAGUUUAUAAUAAUAUUUUUGUAAUUUUCAAGAAAAGUUUUUGCGAAGUUUAUAGCUGAUGGGAUUGAUGAUUACCACUUUAGUGAACAGAUGAAAUAAUAGUAUUCAUGGAGGGCAAUUUUCUACAUAAUUAUAGUCAAUUUUUGAAAUUUCACAUAAGAUGGAAAAUAAUGUAAAAAUGGUUUUAAACGUCUAAACGAUAGUGGAGAAUAUAAUGUGUUUGAGAGCACAAUAUUAUUUCCAAUUAAAUAUUUUGUAUCAUAUGCGUCGUUCUGUAAAUAAUUUGUCGAUGCGUUGAUGCGCUAUAGCGAAGCAUCAUAGCUAUCGUGAAAUACAGGAAACGAUAAUUCUAGUCAACGACGAUAUUGAUGAUAGAGUUAUUCCAGAAACACACAGAAGAACGAACGUAUCUCCGAAUAAAGAUAAUAUAUCCGUUAUAUAACAAAUAUAAAUAAAAUAUUGAAAAUGUAAAUAAUUAUAAAUAAAUUACAAAUGGAGAAUAAGUUUUCAAAUUGUUGCAUAAUUUGUUCAAUAUAUCUAGAUAUCAAACAUUUGAAAACAGAUUAUCAUAAUGGAACAUUCAACUGUGGUGUGAUAAGACAAUGUCAAAACUGCAUAUACGUAUUUUCGUGAAAAUAAAAAUAAAAUGUGAAUUAAAAACUGAAAUCAUAUUUCAAUCAUCAUACACUCCAUUGAUCUAAUAAUUUCUAAUUUAUAAACACAAUCUUUUUCGGGAUAAAAUAUACAUAUAUAUCAUAUAUUGAAUUUUUACUCACUUUAUAAUCUUCAUUUGAUAUUCAACAAUAUCCACAAGCUUCGUAAGCACAAUUGUCUCAGAGCAUAUUCAUGUAACUCGCUGCAGUCUUUAUGAUCUAAAAGUAAAUGCAAACAAAUGCAAAUAAAUGUGGAAAAAAUGUGCAUGAGUCUAAUGUUUUCAUACGUACAUUAGUAAAGGUGACUAAAGAUAAAUCUAUAAUUUUUCCUGCCGUGAUUUUUAUUGGAUAAUUCGACAUAAUGAUCAAUAAUAUCAAGCUGCGCGAUUUUCUUAUAGGCAAUUCAUACCACUUCAACGUAUUAUAUGCCUGCCUAACAUUCUCGCUCUAUUACAGGUAAAAUUUUUGUUAAAUAUCCCAUCAAACUAAUUUUUGAUAUUAUAUUUUUAUCCAUAAACAACAGAUGGUUUACUUCAUCAAAUAGAAGUUGACCGACAUAGCAUACCGAGAAGGCGCCAAUUAAACAAGUCAUUUGGACGAGAACAUAAGUAAUUAUACCCAUACCAUUAUUUUCUUGCCAUUCCUAAAAUAUAACUAACAAUAUGUUAACUGAAAUCAUCAUUAAUUUCAAUAUAACGCAUCGUUCGUACCAUGAUUAUGCAGUAACCAAUUAUACACAUAAUCAAUACUUGGAUAAAAACUUCGAUAAGACAAAUAGCGGGUAUAAAUUGAUCAAGUUGAUUCAAAAAUCUGAAAUGAAAAUUACACUUUUUAAUUCAAUUAACUUUGCAUCUUCUUUUUUUUUUUUUUUCGAUACUCACUCUUUGAU